This 115-nucleotide ribosomal RNA is filed under the name Naso mcdadei (squarenose unicornfish). RNAcentral describes it as "partial 16S ribosomal RNA". The record is from RNAcentral. Lineage: Eukaryota; Metazoa; Chordata; Actinopteri; Acanthuriformes; Acanthuridae.
CGCCCAACAGCUAGCCCCCCCCUACUAAAAACAACAAAACCCUGUUUAUACCCCCAAAAACACUACCAGUUAAAAACAAACCAUUUUACCUCCCCAAGUAUAGGCGAUAGAAAAG